UACGUAGGUGGCAAGCGUUGUCCGGAUUUACUGGGCGUAAAGAGCGCGCAGGCGGUCGAUCAAGUCGAGUGUGAAAGCCCCCGGCUCAACUGGGGAGGGUCAUUCGAUACUGAUCGACUCGAAGGCAGGAGAGGGUAGUGGAAUUCCCGGUGUAGUGGUGAAAUGCGUAGAUAUCGGGAGGAACACCAGUGGCGAAGGCGACUACCUGGCCUGUACUUGACGCUGAGGCGCGAAAGCGAGGGGAGCAAACGGG
This 253-nucleotide ribosomal RNA is filed under the name uncultured bacterium. RNAcentral describes it as "partial 16S ribosomal RNA". It matches the Rfam family "Bacterial small subunit ribosomal RNA", at positions 524 to 776 of the family's 1533-position model. The record is from RNAcentral.